UACCAGCUCUCCGAGUUGUAGGGACGAUUAUUGGGCUUAAAGCGUCCGUAGCUGGCUUAGCAAGUCUCCUGUUAAAUUCAGCGACCUAAUCGUUGAGCCGCGGGAGAUACUACUAGGCUAGGAGGCGGGAGAGGUCGACGGUACUUUCGGGGUAGGGGUGAAAUCCUAUAAUCCCGGGAGGACCACCAGUGGCGAAGGCUGUCGACUAGAACGCGCUCGACGGUGAGGGACGAAAGCUGGGGGUAGCGAACCGGAUUAGAUACCCGGGUAGUCCCAGCUGUAAACUAUGCGGGCUAGGUGUUGGGGUGGCUACGGGCCACUUCAGUGCCGCAGGAAAGCCAUUAAGCCCGCCGCCUGGGGAGUACGGCCGCAAGGCUGAAACUUAAGGAAUUGGCGGGGAGCACCACAAGGCGUGAAGCUUGCGGUUC
Molecule: ribosomal RNA, 428 nt
Filed under: uncultured archaeon
Lineage: Archaea
Description: bacterial SSU rRNA
Rfam family: Archaeal small subunit ribosomal RNA
Source: RNAcentral